RNAcentral lists this transfer RNA (77 nucleotides) under Firmicutes bacterium CAG:313. RNAcentral describes it as "transfer RNA-Asn(GTT)". It matches the Rfam family "tRNA". From Rfam's summary of the family: Transfer RNA (tRNA) molecules are approximately 80 nucleotides in length. Their secondary structure includes four short double-helical elements and three loops (D, anti-codon, and T loops). The record is from RNAcentral. Lineage: Bacteria; Bacillati; Bacillota. RNAcentral also lists the same sequence under 2 other names.
GCCUCUUUAGCUCAGUAGGUUAGAGCACAUGACUGUUAAUCAUGGUGUCCGGGGUUCAAGUCCCUGAAGAGGCGCCA